CAGUCGAGCGAUGAUUAAAGAUAGCUUGCUAUUUUUAUGAAGAGCGGCGAACGGGUGAGUAACGCGUGGGAAAUCUGCCGAGUAGCGGGGGACAACGUUUGGAAACGAACGCUAAUACCGCAUAACAAUGAGAAUCGCAUGAUUCUUAUUUGAAAGAAGCAAUUGCUUCACUACUUGAUGAUCCCGCGUUGUAUUAGCUAGUUGGUAGUGUAAAGGACUACCAAGGCGAUGAUACAUAGCCGACCUGAGAGGGUGAUCGGCCACACUGGGACUGAGACACGGCCCAGACUCCUACGGGAGGCAGCAGUAGGGAAUCUUCGGCAAUGGGGGCAACCCUGACCGAGCAACGCCGCGUGAGUGAAGAAGGUUUUCGGAUCGUAAAACUCUGUUGUUAGAGAAGAACGUUAAGUAGAGUGGAAAAUUACUUAAGUGACGGUAUCUAACCAGAAAGGGACGGCUAACUACGUGCCAGCAGCCGCGGUAAUACGUAGGUCCCAAGCGUUGUCCGGAUUUAUUGGGCGUAAAGCGAGCGCAGGUGGUUUCUUAAGUCUGAUGUAAAAGGCAGUGGCUCAACCAUUGUGUGCAUUGGAAACUGGGAGACUUGAGUGCAGGAGAGGAGAGUGGAAUUCCAUGUGUAGCGGUGAAAUGCGUAGAUAUAUGGAGGAACACCGGAGGCGAAAGCGGCUCUCUGGCCUGUAACUGACACUGAGGCUCGAAAGCGUGGGGAGCAAACAGGAUUAGAUACCCUGGUAGUCCACGCCGUAAACGAUGAGUGCUAGCUGUAGGGAGCUAUAAGUUCUCUGUAGCGCAGCUAACGCAUUAAGCACUCCCCCUGGGGAGUACGACCGCAGGUUGAAACUCAAGAAUUGACGG
This 873-nucleotide ribosomal RNA is filed under the name Lactococcus sp. INBio2861D. RNAcentral's name for it is "bacterial SSU rRNA". It matches the Rfam family "Bacterial small subunit ribosomal RNA", at positions 59 to 916 of the family's 1533-position model. The record is from RNAcentral. Lineage: Bacteria; Bacillati; Bacillota; Bacilli; Lactobacillales; Streptococcaceae.